AUCUCAAGCAGAACUUCUCAACAUCUCUGUUUAUAAGGCCCUACAUUUGGACUGAGAAGACACCUGAACUUUCUGAAUACUUUUUGAGGAAGGCAGAGGUCAUCUUCUCUCUGCUGACUUUGUGAGACCACCAGAGCACCACCAUUGUCCAGGUCAUCAUGGGAGUCAUGACUGUGUCUGUUCUUUUCUGUGUCCUCCUCACCAUCCUGGGGACCGAGAUGACUGGGAGGUCUCCACCAGGGUAUCUGGGAUUAGCUGCACCAGUGGAGAGAUUUGCCAGAAGGCCCCCACCAUGGCCCAAUCAGAACCCAUGUCCUCCAGGGUUUUCUCGACCCAACCGUUACUGGUGAACUUGCUACCUUUUCGACAACAGUUAUUCCUUAUUCCUGGAGUACUCUAAUUUAAUAUUUAUUUUUAUUAGUCAAGGACCUUAUGUAACAGUAUAACUUUAGACCGUCCCCUCGCCCAUACCCGGGCGCGAACCAGGGACCCUCUGCACACAUCAACAACAGUCACCUACGAAGCAUCGUUACCCAUCGCUCCACAAAAGCCGCGGCCCUUGCAGAGCAAGGGGAACUACUACUUCAAGGUCUCAGAGCAAGUGACGUCACCGAUUGAAACGCUAUUUAGCGACCACCAAGUAGAUGCUGACAUUGACUUUUCCCUUUUCUCCCUGACAGUCUGGAUUUCCCCAGAAGAACUGGAUGAGAGGUUCUCAGCGUAACAUGAAUGGAGAGAGUGAGGACUGAUUGGCACUGCUGAAAAUCAAUAGUCAGUAACACAAACUCACAACCGUCUGGACAAAUAUACUGUACAACCUUUCUGGAACCCCAAGUAUCAGGAUCUGUGUGGUCUGUAGAUGUUGGGUGAGCAGGAGUACAAUUGAAUGUUAAUACACUCCAUCGUGGGGUUUAUAGAUGUGGAGGAGCUCUGGUUAAAUACAGAAAUAGAUAAUUCUGUCAUUUUCAUUGGCCGCUUUCAGUGAAGGGUAAACAGAUGUACCUUUGUUCUGUCUUGCCCUUCAACUCACAAGGACAUUCUCCUCUACAGGUGAAGCAGGCUUUGAUGACAUAAGCUGUUCCAGUAUCGUCACCUCUGCCAAAACUCUCUGCAAGAUUCAUACUUCAAUGGACUGACUUUUCCUAGGAGUCCAAACAGAGAGUGCAAAAGGGAUUUUGCCAAUACUCUCUGAUUUUCUUUUUCUAGUAUUGUACAAAAUUGUUCUGAGUUUGAUUUAAGUUGAGUACAUAUAAUGAAAGGUGACGCAAUGGCUACAGAUACAUACAUAAUGAUACAUUGAUUCAAUUGUAUUUUUGAAAGCAGAGUAAAUACUUGAUUAAACAAGGGAUACAACGAAUAUUUGAAAGCAUGUGCUUCCACACAGGUGUGGUUCCUGAGUUAAUUAAGCAAUUAACAUCCCAUCAUGGUUAGGGUCAUGUAUAAAAUGCUGGGCAGGCCAUUAUUUUGGCUACCAUGGUUAUGCCCCCAUAGAAUCCACAGGGCACGAAUGGUCACUGAAUGGUUUGAUGAACAUGAAAACGAUAUAAACCAUAUGUCAUGGCCGUCUCAGUCAACAGAUCUCAACGCAACUGAACACUUAUUGGAGAUUUGGGAGCGGUGCCUGAGACAGCUUUUUCCACUACCAUCAACAAAACACAAACUGAUGUAAAUUCUCGUGAAAAAAUGAUGUCGCAUCCCUCCAAUAGAGUUACAGACACUUGUAGAAUCUAUGCCAAGGUGCAUUGAAGCUCAUGGUGGCUCGUGGUGGUCCAACGCCCUGUUAAGAUACUUUAUGUAGGUAAU
Long non-coding RNA from Oncorhynchus nerka (sockeye salmon), 1803 nucleotides. RefSeq lists it as uncharacterized. The record is from RefSeq and is a predicted model, not a curated record. NCBI's taxonomy places the organism in Eukaryota, Metazoa, Chordata, Actinopteri, Salmoniformes, Salmonidae. The transcript has 3 exons.